CCUACGGGGGGCAGCAGUAAGGAAUAUUGGUCAAUGGACGCAAGUCUGAACCAGCCAUGCCGCGUGAAGGAUGAAGGCCUCUGGGUUGUAAACUUCUUUUAUCUGGGAAGCGGUACCAGAGGAAUAAGCACCGGCUAACUCCGUGCCAGCAGCCGCGGUAAUACGGAGGGUGCAAGCGUUAUCCGGAUUCACUGGGUUUAAAGGGUGCGUAGGUGGGUUUGUAAGUCAGUGGUGAAAUCUCCGUGCUUAACAUGGAAACUGCCAUUGAUACUAUGGAUCUUGAAUGUUCUGGAGGUUAGCGGAAUAUGUCAUGUAGCGGUGAAAUGCUUAGAUAUGACAUAGAACACCAAUUGCGAAGGCAGCUGGCUACAGGAUAUUGACACUGAGGCACGAAAGCGUGGGGAUCAAACAGGAUUAGAUACCCUUGUAGUC
RNAcentral lists this ribosomal RNA (432 nucleotides) under uncultured bacterium. RNAcentral's name for it is "partial 16S ribosomal RNA". It matches the Rfam family "Bacterial small subunit ribosomal RNA", at positions 338 to 795 of the family's 1533-position model. The record is from RNAcentral.